GACGUAGGGCGCGAGCGUUGUCCGGAUUUAUUGGGCGGAAAGAGCUCGUAGGCGGCUUGUCGCGUCGUCCGUGAAAACUUGGGGCUCAACCCCAAGCUUGCGGUCGAUACGGGCAGGCUCGAGUUCGGUAGGGGAGACUGGAAUUCCUGGUGUAGCGGUGAAAUGCGCAGAUAUCAGGAGGAACACCGGUGGCGAAGGCGGGUCUCUGGGCAUUACCUGACGCUGAGGAGCGAAAGUGUGGGGAGCGAACAGG
Molecule: ribosomal RNA, 253 nt
Filed under: uncultured bacterium
Lineage: Bacteria
Description: partial 16S ribosomal RNA
Rfam family: Bacterial small subunit ribosomal RNA
Source: RNAcentral